Molecule: long non-coding RNA, 287 nt
Filed under: Glycine max (soybean)
Lineage: Eukaryota; Viridiplantae; Streptophyta; Magnoliopsida; Fabales; Fabaceae
Description: long non-coding RNA (GMAX_LNC002239)
Source: RNAcentral
GCAACGCAUUUUCUGAAGAUAUAGAACCUUGCCCUUUGCUCCUUAACAAGCUUACUGCAUCUCUGUCCAAAGGACCUGAAGGGGUCAAAGACUUGACCAUUGCAGCAGUUGGUGACUACUUUGUUCUUCAUCUCUCUCCUAAUAGUACUUCUAAUUCCUUGUGGUGGUUUGAUUUUGUUGUACCUCUCUCUGAACACUCUUGAGUGUUGAUUUUGCCAGAGUUUGGGCCUAUAAAAAAUUAUUGGUGAUAUUGAAGGACAAAUGAAUAAGAAGAAGGUGGAGUCUUA